This 433-nucleotide ribosomal RNA is filed under the name uncultured bacterium. RNAcentral's name for it is "bacterial SSU rRNA". It matches the Rfam family "Bacterial small subunit ribosomal RNA", at positions 917 to 1349 of the family's 1533-position model. The record is from RNAcentral.
GGGCCCGCACAAGCGGUGGAGUAUGUGGUUUAAUUCGAUGCAACGCGAAGAACCUUACCAGGGUUUGACAUCCUGCGAAUCUCUUGGAAACAGGAGAGUGCCUUCGGGAACGCAGUGACAGGUGGUGCAUGGCUGUCGUCAGCUCGUGUCGUGAGAUGUUGGGUUAAGUCCCGCAACGAGCGCAACCCACGUCUUUAGUUGCCAGCAUGUAAUGAUGGGAACUCUAACGGGACUGCCGGUGCAAACCGCGAGGAAGGUGGGGAUGACGUCAAGUCAUCAUGCCCCUUACAUCCUGGGCUACACACGUACUACAAUGCUACGGACAAAGGGCUGCAAGUUCGCGAGGACAAGCAAAUCCCAUAAACCGUGGCUCAGUUCAGAUCGUAGGCUGCAACUCGCCUACGUGAAGGCGGAAUCGCUAGUAAUCGCAGGU